RNAcentral lists this ribosomal RNA (696 nucleotides) under uncultured bacterium. RNAcentral describes it as "bacterial SSU rRNA". It matches the Rfam family "Bacterial small subunit ribosomal RNA", at positions 94 to 788 of the family's 1533-position model. The record is from RNAcentral.
ACCGGCGCACGGGUGCGUAACGCGUAUGCAACCUACCCACAACUGGAGGAUAGCCCGGAGAAAUUCGGAUUAAUACUCCAUAAUGCAGGGGUACCACCUGGUACUAUUUGCUAAAGAUUUAUUGGUUGUGGAUGGGCAUGCGUCUGAUUAGUUAGUUGGUGAGGUAACGUCUCACCAAGACGAUGAUCAGUAGGGGGUCUGAGAGGAUGAUCCCCCACACUGGCACUGAGAUACGGGCCAGACUCCUACGGGAGGCAGCAGUAGGGAAUAUUGGGCAAUGGAGGCAACUCUGACCCAGCCAUGCCGCGUGAAGGAUGAAGGCCUUCUGGGUUGUAAACUUCUUUUAUACAGGAAGAAAAAGGUCAUGCGUGACCAAUUGACGGUACUGUAUGAAUAAGCACCGGCUAACUCCGUGCCAGCAGCCGCGGUAAUACGGAGGGUGCAAGCGUUGUCCGGAUUUAUUGGGUUUAAAGGGUGCGCAGGCGGUGCGUUAAGUCAGUGGUGAAAUCUCUCGGCUCAACCGAGAAACUGCCAUUGAUACUGGCGUACUUGAGUACGGACGAGGUAGGCGGAAUUUAUGGUGUAGCGGUGAAAUGCAUAGAUACCAUAAAGAACACCGAUAGCGAAGGCAGCUUACUAGACCGUAACUGACGCUCAUGCACGAAAGCGUGGGGAGCGAACAGGAUUAGAUACCCU